CCCCGUGUGGCCGGGGUCACUCUGCGCCGGCACUGUGGCUUUUGUCAGCAUCUGGACAACU
Molecule: small RNA, 61 nt
Filed under: Vulpes vulpes (red fox)
Lineage: Eukaryota; Metazoa; Chordata; Mammalia; Carnivora; Canidae
Also listed under: 1 other name
Description: Six3os1 conserved region 1 (ENSVVUG00000005340.1)
Rfam family: Six3os1 conserved region 1
Source: RNAcentral